Eucalyptus grandis is the source of this 290-nucleotide long non-coding RNA. RefSeq lists it as uncharacterized. The transcript is spliced from 3 exons. Lineage: Eukaryota; Viridiplantae; Streptophyta; Magnoliopsida; Myrtales; Myrtaceae. The record is from RefSeq and is a predicted model, not a curated record.
CUAAAAAUAACCAACUUGUCUUGGUGAUAACUGUCUCCUCAAAUUUUGAGCCUCGGCGAUUUCGGAGUGCAUCACCAUUAUUUACAUCCAGCUGUACUGUUUUCCGGUCGGAUGCAGUUUUGUGUGCUUCUUAGGAAGGCCGAUAAAGAUUGGACUUAGGAACUGUCUGCAAAGCAGCUUCUGUGAUUCUGCAGAAGUUCAUUGAGCCUGCUGUAGGGCAAGAGACACUUAAUCCUUCACGUGAUGAAGCACCGGGUUUGGAGGAUAAUGCAAUGCCUGCAUUUGGCAAU